GCUGGGCAUGGUGGCGCAUGUUUGUAAUCUCAGCUGUAUAGGAGGCUGAGGCAGAAAAAUCUCAAGUUUGAGACUAACUUAAGCAACAUGGCAAGACCCUGUCUCAA
This 107-nucleotide small RNA is filed under the name Marmota monax (woodchuck). The record is from RNAcentral. Lineage: Eukaryota; Metazoa; Chordata; Mammalia; Rodentia; Sciuridae.